Molecule: unclassified non-coding RNA, 711 nt
Filed under: Hevea brasiliensis (rubber tree)
Lineage: Eukaryota; Viridiplantae; Streptophyta; Magnoliopsida; Malpighiales; Euphorbiaceae
Source: RNAcentral
UAAUAGAUGGAUCAACUUUCUCACUGUGAUAUGCUUUCUUUUGUAUAUCACUCGAAUCUUGAUCAUUUUUCUAUAAAUACAUUGUUUUCAUUUUACCUAGUUUAUAUGUUGAUUUAUUUAUUAAUCCUGUUCUUUGCUCAAUCAAACCAGGACUUUUCUCGUGAUCUUUUUUCCAUCUUUCCUCACCUUUUUGAGGAUGAUUUCCAAUAUAUUUUCCUGUCACUUAGGAAUGCUUCAGUUUAAACCAAUAGAUUUCUGACUUGUUGGGCUGACUCUAUGAAUUCUGCCUCUUGAUAGAACUAAUCUGCUAUUUGUUUUAAGCUCCUUUUAUAUUAUGCUACUUUGAAGGUACUGCAGCUUAACUGCAUCUUACUCAUUCCUUCGAAAGUAUUAAUAUCCUUCAGGUCAACAAAAAGAAUAAAUCUCAAAUUUAUGAUGAUUAGCUUGACAUUAUGGGCAUUGAUGGCACAUUCAGAAAUUCAUAUUGGAUUUAGUAGAAGAAUCAAUGAUACCUGUAUUGUGGGUGCUUUGUUAAAAGAAGGAGAUUCUUUUGAUUAGCAGAUGUUUAUUACUUCUAAAGUAAAAGUUUGGAGUCCUCGGAUUGACUUAUGCAUGCUCAUUUUCACAGAUACAAUUUAUUAAAAUGUCUUGGUUUUUUAAUUGAGUAUAAACAGUGUCUCUAGGGGAAAUGCUUAGUUAUGUUUGUCAGGA